UUUUUUUUAAAAAAAAGCAUCCAAGAACUGUGGGAAAAUAUCAAAUGAUAUAAUAUGCAUGUAAUAGGACUCCCAGAAGAAGAAGAAAGAACAAAUCAUAAAAAAUGUUUGAAGAGAAAAUUACCAAUAAUUUUCCCAAAAUAAUGAAAGACAACAAAAUGCAGACCUGAGCUCAGAGCACACACAAAACUUGAUAAAUAUGAGCCCCUGCCUCACACAUGCACUGUAUUCAAACUGUGGAAAUCAGAAAGAAAACCAUGAAGAUGGCCGGAGAAAAAAGAUACGUUAAAUACAGUAACAAAGAAUCGCAGCGUGAGUGUCUCUCUUCACCAUACCGCACGGGUCCUGCUCACUGACCCAGCCCGCCUGCUGUCCAGGGCUUCCUCUGUCUCCGCUCUGGGACCUCCCCAUGGCCACGCAUUCCGCCGCCUGGUCUGGAUCCCUCGCGGUGUCUGGGUUCAGCCAUGCUCAGCCUCCGUGUCGGUCACCAGCCUAGAAACCCUGGAGCACCCCGGGCCGGAACCCUUCCCUCAGAUCUGUCCUGAGUUCCCUUUCAGAGAUCAAGCCCAGCCUGGCUCAAUCUUGCACCCCUUGGGAUCCACG
This 603-nucleotide small RNA is filed under the name Pan troglodytes (chimpanzee). RNAcentral describes it as "processed transcript". Lineage: Eukaryota; Metazoa; Chordata; Mammalia; Primates; Hominidae. The record is from RNAcentral.